This 227-nucleotide ribosomal RNA is filed under the name uncultured soil bacterium. RNAcentral's name for it is "partial 16S ribosomal RNA". It matches the Rfam family "Bacterial small subunit ribosomal RNA", at positions 26 to 255 of the family's 1533-position model. The record is from RNAcentral.
AGAUUGAACGCUGGCGGCAGGCCUAACACAUGCAAGUCGAGCGGUAGAGAGGUGCUUGCAUCUCUUGAGAGCGGCGGACGGGUGAGUAAUGCCUAGGAAUCUGCCUAGUGGUGGGGGAUAACGUUCGGAAACGGACGCUAAUACCGCAUACGUCCUACGGGAGAAAGCGGGGGACCUUCGGGCCUCGCGCCAUUAGAUGAGCCUAGGUCGGAUUAGCUAGUUGGUGA